GAGGGUAUAGCUCAGUGGUAGAAUGCAGUGCUUAGCAAGUGCAAGGUCCUGGGUUCAAUCCCUGGUACCUUCA
RNAcentral lists this transfer RNA (73 nucleotides) under Camelus bactrianus (Bactrian camel). It matches the Rfam family "tRNA". Rfam says of the family: Transfer RNA (tRNA) molecules are approximately 80 nucleotides in length. Their secondary structure includes four short double-helical elements and three loops (D, anti-codon, and T loops). The record is from Rfam by way of RNAcentral. RNAcentral also lists the same sequence under 3 other names. Lineage: Eukaryota; Metazoa; Chordata; Mammalia; Artiodactyla; Camelidae.